UUUCCAUCAUUAUCUUCUAUGGAGUUCUUCAUUCCCGUAUCUGUGGCCCUUAAAAUCCUACGAUUGAGUGCCUGUCUUGGAUCGGCCAUCAGUUCGUUACCUUGGUUCUCAGACGAUGCUUGCAACAACGCAAUGGGAUUCACCCACUCUUGG
Molecule: long non-coding RNA, 153 nt
Filed under: Pongo abelii (Sumatran orangutan)
Lineage: Eukaryota; Metazoa; Chordata; Mammalia; Primates; Hominidae
Description: lincRNA
Source: RNAcentral